GGAUAGUUCAGUUGGUUAAAGUGUGGUACUGAUAAUGCCAAGGUUGCAGAUUCAAUCCCUGUAUGGGACA
This 70-nucleotide transfer RNA is filed under the name Podarcis lilfordi (Lilford's wall lizard). Its description in RNAcentral is "tRNA.Ile". Lineage: Eukaryota; Metazoa; Chordata; Lepidosauria; Squamata; Lacertidae. The record is from RNAcentral.